Molecule: non-coding RNA, 64 nt
Organism: Caenorhabditis elegans
Lineage: Eukaryota; Metazoa; Nematoda; Chromadorea; Rhabditida; Rhabditidae
Source: Ensembl
UAUAUCUCCAAAACUAAAAUAUCUAUCAAAAAUUUUUCAACUGAUGAAAUGUAGCAAAAUUUUA